RNAcentral lists this ribosomal RNA (858 nucleotides) under Triticum aestivum (bread wheat). RNAcentral's name for it is "partial small subunit ribosomal RNA". Lineage: Eukaryota; Viridiplantae; Streptophyta; Magnoliopsida; Poales; Poaceae. The record is from RNAcentral.
AUGAAACUUGCUUCCAAACUUCUUCAAAAGCCUUACUUGCCUUGGGUUAACUGGUUCUUCCAACACUACUCUCUUGACUUUGCCAACAAAACCCACAACCCCUCCUUUCUCCCGAAAAUUGUGAACGACCAACUUCACCCUCUUCAAAAAAUCUCCUUUGUCCUUACUAACUGCGGCGCUUCCACCUUCUUCUGGCUCGAUGCUUCGCUGCUUCCUACUCCCCUUGCGUGCUACGAAACCCACAUUUUCUCCCACUCCACUUCGUCGUACGUCCUGGUAUCUCAGGUCAUGCAUUUUGGUUUACUGGCUAACCCACGGAAUCGCCUAACCAAUGUUGCUUCUGUCGAGCUUGCUUCCAUUUUAUCUUUGUUGCAGGAUGUUCAUGGCAAUGAUGCGCCCGAUGACAGGUUCCUUACCCAUGGCUCCGCGUUCUCUCGAGGUGCCUACUCGCUGCUCUCCUCCGACCAUGAGUUUCAUCUCAACGUUGGGCACAUCUGGGGCUCCAAGGCUCCCAUCAAGGUCAAGAUCUUCGGUUGGCUUCUUUGGUGUGACAGGCUGAGUACGAAGACCAACUUGCUACGAAAAACUAUCUCCUCUGACUCUUCUUGCCCUCGGUGCGACCAUGCAAGGGAGGACGCGACUCACGUCGCCAUCCUUUGCCCCUGUGCUGCUGCACAUCUUUGGUCCAUUUUGGGCCUCCAGACUCCUAUCUCCAUCAGACACAUUUGGGACACUCCUACGCCGGUUGGCCUCGACGUCAACAUUUGGCCUACCGUCACCCUCGCCAUACUGUGGAAGUUAUGGGACUCUAGGAAUGCUCGUGUUUUUCGUAAUGAGAUUCACUCCCCCCCCCCUUGA